This 490-nucleotide ribosomal RNA is filed under the name uncultured bacterium. RNAcentral describes it as "partial 16S ribosomal RNA". It matches the Rfam family "Bacterial small subunit ribosomal RNA", at positions 28 to 507 of the family's 1533-position model. The record is from RNAcentral.
GAUGAACGCUAGCUACAGGCUUAACACAUGCAAGUCGCGGGGCGGCAUGGGGGUUGCUUGCAAUCCCCGAUGGCGACCGGCGCACGGGUGAGUAACGCGUAUCCAACCUGCCCUUCACCACGGGAUAACCCGGCGAAAGUCGGACUAAUACCGUAUGUUGUCCAUUGACGGCAUCCGAUUUGGACGAAAGGUUUGGCGGUGAAGGAUGGGGAUGCGUCCGAUUAGCUGGACGGCGGGGUGACGGCCCACCGUGGCGACGAUCGGUAGGGGUUCUGAGAGGAAGGUCCCCCACACUGGAACUGAGACACGGUCCAGACUCCUACGGGAGGCAGCAGUGAGGAAUAUUGGUCAAUGGGCGUAAGCCUGAACCAGCCAAGUAGCGUGCAGGAUGACGGCCCUAUGGGUUGUAAGCUGCUUUUAUGCGGGGAUAAAGUGGCCCACGUGUGGGUUUUUGCAGGUACCGCAUGAAUAAGGACCGGCUAAUUCCGUG